RNAcentral lists this ribosomal RNA (417 nucleotides) under Triticum aestivum (bread wheat). RNAcentral's name for it is "partial small subunit ribosomal RNA". Lineage: Eukaryota; Viridiplantae; Streptophyta; Magnoliopsida; Poales; Poaceae. The record is from RNAcentral.
GUUUAUUUGAAGUUACAGCCUUACAGACACACAUCCUUAAGUCUGCAUCGGCAUCUAAAGCUGCAUUCUAAAUUCUAUGGACCAUUCAGAGUCCUUGAGAGAAUUGGAAACCAUGCUUACAAGUUUUUGUUGCCAGAAGGUUGUUUACUACAUGAUACAUUCCAUGUCAGCCAGUUGAAAAAGCAUAUUGGACCUGCAGUGGUGCCUUCAACCAAACUACCGCUGGUAUGUCCUGAUGGUAUAAUCAAGCUGGAACCCGAGGCUGUUCUUGAAAGGAAACUGAUUCCCAGGAAGCAAGGUAAUAUCAGCAUCCCUAUCAUCAGAUGGUUGGUUAAAUGGAACAAACUUCUAGCGGAAGAGGCUACGUGGGAGGAUUCAGCGUUUAUCCAGAAAGUUUUUCCUGCUUUCAGAGCUUGA